CGGGACGGGUGAGUAAUGUCUGGGAAACUGCCCGAUGGAGGGGGAUAACUACUGGAAACGGUAGCUAAUACCGCAUAACGUCGCAAGACCAAAGAGGGGGACCUUCGGGCCUCUUGCCAUCGGAUGUGCCCAGAUGGGAUUAGCUAGUAGGUGGGGUAACGGCUCACCUAGGCGACGAUCCCUAGCUGAUCUGAGAGGAUGACCAGCCACACUGGAACUGAGACACGGUCCAG
This 233-nucleotide ribosomal RNA is filed under the name uncultured bacterium. RNAcentral describes it as "partial 16S ribosomal RNA". It matches the Rfam family "Bacterial small subunit ribosomal RNA", at positions 100 to 334 of the family's 1533-position model. The record is from RNAcentral.